UUGACCUCGGAUCAGGUAGGGAUACCCGCUGAACUUAAGCAUAUCAAAGAGGGGGGAGAGAAAAA
RNAcentral lists this ribosomal RNA (65 nucleotides) under Didymella glomerata. RNAcentral describes it as "partial 28S ribosomal RNA". The record is from RNAcentral. Lineage: Eukaryota; Fungi; Ascomycota; Dothideomycetes; Pleosporales; Didymellaceae.